GACGAACGCUGGCGGCGUGGAUUAGGCAUGCAAGUCGAACGGUAUCAUCCUUUCGGGGGUGAGAGAGUGGCGAACUGGUGAGUAACACGUAGGUUAUCUACCCUCAAGACGGGGACAACCCAGGGAAACUUGGGCUAAUACCGGAUGUGAGCAACUUUUUAGUUGUUUGAAAGGUGGCGUAAGCUGUCGCUUGGGGAUGAGCCUGCGUCCUAUUAGUUAGUUGGUGAGGUAACGGCUCACCUAGGCAAUGAUAGGUAGGCGGCCUUAACGGGUGGUCGCCCACACUGGGAUUGAGAUACGGCCCAGACUCCUACGGGAGGCAGCAGUCGAGAAUAGUCUACAAUGGUCGGAAGACUGAUAGUGCGACGCCGCGUGAACGAUGAAUCCCUUCGGGUGUAAAGUUCUUUUAUAUGUGAGCAGUGCUUCUUAUAUUAACAGUAUGGGGAGAGAGAUAUUAGCAUAUGAAUAAGCAACGGCUAACUCCGUGCCAGCAGCCGCGGUAAGC
This 505-nucleotide ribosomal RNA is filed under the name uncultured bacterium. Its description in RNAcentral is "bacterial SSU rRNA". It matches the Rfam family "Bacterial small subunit ribosomal RNA", at positions 28 to 525 of the family's 1533-position model. The record is from RNAcentral.